AGGCCGAGUCGUCUGCAUUAUUCGGAAGCAGCAAACGGCAAUAUUGCACUCGUCCCGGCCUGA
RNAcentral lists this microRNA precursor (63 nucleotides) under Ascaris suum (pig roundworm). RNAcentral's name for it is "Asu-Mir-92_pre stem-loop". The record is from RNAcentral. Lineage: Eukaryota; Metazoa; Nematoda; Chromadorea; Rhabditida; Ascarididae.